This 367-nucleotide ribosomal RNA is filed under the name Streptomyces sp. RLe8. RNAcentral's name for it is "bacterial SSU rRNA". It matches the Rfam family "Bacterial small subunit ribosomal RNA", at positions 1033 to 1391 of the family's 1533-position model. Lineage: Bacteria; Bacillati; Actinomycetota; Actinomycetes; Kitasatosporales; Streptomycetaceae. The record is from RNAcentral.
UACAGGUGGUGCAUGGCUGUCGUCAGCUCGUGUCGUGAGGAUGUUGGGUUAAGUCCCGCAACGAGCGCAACCCUUGUCCCGUGUUGCCAGCAGGCCCUUGUGGUGCUGGGGACUCACGGGAGACCGCCGGGGUCAACUCGGAGGAAGGUGGGGACGACGUCAAGUCAUCAUGCCCCUUAUGUCUUGGGCUGCACACGUGCUACAAUGGCCGGUACAAUGAGCUGCGAUACCGUGAGGUGGAGCGAAUCUCAAAAAGCCGGUCUCAGUUCGGAUUGGGGUCUGCAACUCGACCCCAUGAAGUCGGAGUCGCUAGUAAUCGCAGAUCAGCAUUGCUGCGGUGAAUACGUUCCCGGGUCUUGUACACACC